AACGCAACUUGCGCCCUUCUUGGGCAUGUCUGUUUGAGUACCAUAUUCUUCUUGUCUUCUAUGAAAGGGAGGCGACUUGUCUGGUCAAUUUGUUUAUAUGGCUAGAUUAAAGGCAGUUUCUUUAAUGCCUUGUUGUGUGGGGGCAGGCGGUGGUAAGCCGAGCUAGAGAUCUGCUUGGUCUUUUUUUUAUCGGUAAACCCUUCCUGUAAUCCCCUUCGAUAAUCUUUGGUCUCAAAUCAGGCAAGACUACCCGCUGAACUUAA
Molecule: unclassified non-coding RNA, 263 nt
Filed under: uncultured fungus
Lineage: Eukaryota; Fungi
Description: partial contains 5.8S ribosomal RNA, internal transcribed spacer 2, and large subunit ribosomal RNA
Source: RNAcentral